This is a long non-coding RNA of Myotis daubentonii (Daubenton's bat), 370 nucleotides long. RefSeq lists it as uncharacterized. Lineage: Eukaryota; Metazoa; Chordata; Mammalia; Chiroptera; Vespertilionidae. The record is from RefSeq and is a predicted model, not a curated record.
GGACUAUCAGUCAUACUGGGCGGGGCUGGGACUUAAUGGGGUUGGGUUUCCAGGAGAGGGUUGGCGCCCGCACCUUGCACUUCUGGGCACUUCAGGAACGCGAGGAGGGCGUACACAGUGUGGCGCCCACGGCCUCGGUGUCGCCAAAGAGAAGGUAUGGGUGGCCGUCAGCAGGGUGUCCAUGUGGCAAUGGCUCAGCGGGCGCUGCUUCUCUGUUGGGGGAAAGGGGUGGGGAUAUGAGCCAGGACUGCGGGCGCGGAGCCUGUGCGCCCCAUUCCCGCAGAUCUAUGUCACUGCUGGGGCUGCUUUUAAAUCAUCUCCGUUCACCCCCUUUACCCCUCCUCUGUUGUUUUCCCAGUGACUUUUUUUU